RNAcentral lists this ribosomal RNA (238 nucleotides) under uncultured bacterium. RNAcentral's name for it is "partial 16S ribosomal RNA". It matches the Rfam family "Bacterial small subunit ribosomal RNA", at positions 15 to 233 of the family's 1533-position model. The record is from RNAcentral.
GAUCAUGGCUCAGGAUGAACGCUGGCAGCGUGCUUAACACAUGCAAGUCGAGCGAAGCACUUAGGAAAGAUUCUUCGGAUGAUUUCCUAUUUGACUGAGCGGCGGACGGGUGAGUAACGCGUGGGUAACCUGCCUCAUACAGGGGGAUAACAGUUAGAAAUGACUGCUAAUACCGCAUAAGACCACAGCACCGCAUGGUGCAGGGGUAAAAAACUCCGGUGGUAUGAGAUUGGACCCG